CGCGCAGGCGGCCUUGUAAGUCAGAUGUGAAAGCCCGGGGCUCAACCCCGGAAGUGCAUUUGAUACUGCAAGACUUGAGUAUGGGAGGGGGAAGUGGAAUUCCUGGUGUAGAGGUGAAAUUCGUAGAUAUCAGGAGGAACACCAGUGGCGAAGGCGACUUCCUGGACCGAUACUGACGCUGAGGCGCGAAGGCGUGGGGAGCAAACA
RNAcentral lists this ribosomal RNA (207 nucleotides) under uncultured bacterium. Its description in RNAcentral is "partial 16S ribosomal RNA". It matches the Rfam family "Bacterial small subunit ribosomal RNA", at positions 568 to 774 of the family's 1533-position model. The record is from RNAcentral.